GACGAACGCUGGCGGCGUGCUUAACACAUGCAAGUCGAACGGAAAGGCCCUGCUUUUGUGGGGUGCUCGAGUGGCGAACGGGUGAGUAACACGUGAGUAACCUGCCCUUGACUUUGGGAUAACUUCAGGAAACUGGGGCUAAUACCGGAUAGGAGCUCCUGCUGCAUGGUGGGGGUUGGAAAGUUUCGGCUGUUGGGGAUGGCCUCACGGCUUAUCAGCUUGUUGGUGGGGUAGUGACUUACCAAGGGUUUGACGGGUAGCAGGCCUGAGAGGGUUACCGGCCACGUUGGGAUUGAGGUACGGCCCAGACUGCUACAGGAAGCAGGAGUGUGGAACAUUGCACAAUGGGCGAAAGCCUGACGCAGAAAUGCCGCGUGCGGGAUGAAGGCCUUCGGGUUGUAAACAGGUUUCGCGUGUGACGAAGCGUGAGUGACGGUAAUGGGUAAAGAAGCACCGGCUAACUACGUG
RNAcentral lists this ribosomal RNA (468 nucleotides) under uncultured bacterium. RNAcentral's name for it is "partial 16S ribosomal RNA". It matches the Rfam family "Bacterial small subunit ribosomal RNA", at positions 28 to 507 of the family's 1533-position model. The record is from RNAcentral.